Molecule: transfer RNA, 90 nt
Filed under: Clostridium liquoris
Lineage: Bacteria; Bacillati; Bacillota; Clostridia; Eubacteriales; Clostridiaceae
Description: tRNA-Ser
Rfam family: tRNA
About the family: Transfer RNA (tRNA) molecules are approximately 80 nucleotides in length.
Source: RNAcentral
GGAGAGAUGUCCGAGCGGUUGAAGGAGCACGCCUGGAAAGCGUGUGUAGGGGAAACUCUACCAGGAGUUCGAAUCUCCUUCUCUCCGCCA